This 253-nucleotide ribosomal RNA is filed under the name uncultured bacterium. Its description in RNAcentral is "partial 16S ribosomal RNA". It matches the Rfam family "Bacterial small subunit ribosomal RNA", at positions 524 to 776 of the family's 1533-position model. The record is from RNAcentral.
UACGUAGGGGGCAAGCGUUGUCCGGAUUUAUUGGGCGUAAAGAGCGUGUAGGCGGCUUUACAGGUCCGUUGUGAAAACUCGAGGCUCAACCUCGAGACGCCGGUGGAAACCGUAAAGCUAGAGUCCGGAAGAGGAGAGUGGAAUUCCUGGUGUAGCGGUGAAAUGCGCAGAUAUCGAGAGGAACACCUGUGGCGAAGGCGGCCUUCUGGACGGUGACUGACGCUGAGACGCGAAAGCGUGGGGAGCAAACAGG